This 64-nucleotide transfer RNA is filed under the name Neuroperla schedingi. RNAcentral's name for it is "tRNA-Arg". The record is from RNAcentral. Lineage: Eukaryota; Metazoa; Arthropoda; Insecta; Plecoptera; Eustheniidae.
GAGUAAGAAGCGAUUAAUUGCACCCAGUUUCGACCUGGUCCUAGGUAAUAUUUACCCUUACUCU